Molecule: long non-coding RNA, 3214 nt
Organism: Selaginella moellendorffii
Lineage: Eukaryota; Viridiplantae; Streptophyta; Lycopodiopsida; Selaginellales; Selaginellaceae
Exons: 12
Source: RefSeq, a predicted model, not a curated record
UCUGUCUCUUGCGCCUCGAUCGCAAUGGCGCUGCGCGAUUAGCCGCAAGCGCUGGGGUUUUAGCUAGAUCUUGGCGCCGCUGUGAGAUUUUCGAGCAUUCGAAGUCCCGCCUUCUACUGCUCUUGAGAGAUUUUAGUCCCUUUUGAGAGAUUUCUCGAGCCUCGUGACGAAAUUUUCUUUUGACCUUAGUGGAUGGCUAGCUCUUUGUUUCACUAGCUUCGUUUACACGUAGAUGAGCUAAAGUUCUCGGUCUUUUGGAAAUUUCUACAGCCUCGUGCCGAGAAAUUUCGUUUUGAGCUUUCCAUGGCUAGCUCUUUCUUGCUUCUUUUUCGUUCUUCGCAUGAAGACGAGCUAAAAGAUCUCGGUCUUAGGACUAGUGCUUUUCCCUUCUUGCUGCAUUUUCAUUUUAAGACAGCACUUUCCCAGUGUAAGUCUAGAGUUUGUCGACCAUUAAAGAUCGGCUUCUGGGAAUAUUGGCGCUGGUAGUGGUCCCGAAAAGGCUGCGGAUAUCUCAAUCAGGAACUUAUUACAGCGACGACUGCUGGUGGCUCUGGCAACAAGCGCGGGCGACAUGGUGUCGCAGCUGCAACUCUGCAGGGAUUACUAAUGUGGCAAACAGAUAAGUAGCGAAGCGGCAUCUCUUGCUUGCUCCAUUCCAUUUUACGUCCAGUCUUUAUGGGCACAGCGUGAUGUUUACGUCUUUGGUACUACUCUCUGUCUAUCUGAAGUCACCAAAGUCUUUUCUUUUUUCUUUUUUCUGAAGUGUUUGGGUGGGAAGCAAGAAUAAAGGACAAGGACUAGUUGUGCUUUAGCCAUCCUUGUUGGGGGUCUGUCUAUGUCUAAACUUGUGGUUUAAGUGGUCCGGUGUGCUACUUGAACUUUGGAUUUUAAGUGGUCCUGUGUGCUACUUGUGCUUUGGACUCUACUGAUUUGAGAUUGUGUUGGUCUUUGCAGUAAAAGUUGGCUGGUCUAAAGGUGCUCUGCCAUGUUUGUCGUUUUUUUUUGCAAAUUUUUCUCUCACGUUUUUUCGUUUUUUUCUUUUUCUAUUUAUCUCAUUGCUGCAUUCUGUCUGAAUGUUCUUCAUGUAAACGCACUUUUCUAACUUGAGGCUCGUCCGGCCGCGUCAUUCAUUCUGGCGCAAAUAAAGAUACCAGGUCAUUGGGCUUUUGCCGCUCCGCUUCCUCUUCUUGAAAUAUGCUGCAUACGUACGCAUAUCGUAAUGCUUGUUUUACAAGUGGAUCUGCCUGUUAAGGGAUGAACCGUAUGCCAUGCGUGUUGCUAGCUUCCUUUCUUAGUGGCUUUGCUAAAAGCGUGGUUCAGGUGCACGAUGUCCGAAAGGUUGGACCGUGAAGCAGCGCUUAAACAGUUCAUAAUGGUGUUACGGAGGACACAGCAAAAGGGCCAUUCUGUGAGGCAAGGCAAGCAUUAUUUCUUUUCUUCUUGAAACGAGGCAAGUAAAUUCUGUAUUCCAGUAACUGGAUCCUGUUCAAGUUUAUGAACUGAUCCUAAAGAGAAUAGCAUGAUAUGGAAAUGUCUUCCUCUCUAAAAUUCAGCCAGGGAUUGCAGAGUGCCAACAGAUAUGAGGAAGACUGGCUGAUGUUGUCGAACUGCCAGACCAGGCACUGCCAUGGCAAGGACGAUUGAAGAAGAAAGGGAUCGCAAUGCUCGCUGCAGUGACGAUGCGAUGCCGAUGAGAUGAGAGCUGCUUUCUUUCUGGGUUACAAUUGGACAUAUGCGAUGCGACAAGCGUGGACAGAGGCCGCAUGCUGAUUCCCAAUGCGGAUGUUAAAUCCCCAAGCUUUCUAGAAGAGGUGGCUUUCUUUAUUCCUCGCUUGUGUUUGCUGGCCCCAAUAGGAAUCGAUCAUGCUACUGGCUCCUGUGCUUCCUUCGGAUUUGAAAAGCCUUUGUAAAGGUGCGUGCCACUGCUUCACCAAAUGGACACUCGAAAAUCAUGGAGUUUACUUUGUCCAGAUGCCUUAACGCGCAAACUCUCAGAUGCCUUAAAGCAUCCAUUUGGUUUCCAUCAUCGUCUUACAACAACAGGCUUGUCGUGGGUUAUAAGUGGAUUUGGAGAAGAUCCUGCUCAAAGGAAUCUUACACAAGGUUGAGCGUGACUGGAGCAGUUUUCGAGUGACAUAUCGCCCCAAAUGCUUUCUAAAGCUUUGGACUAUUCGAGGACCACUGAGUAGUUAACAGAGAUGGGUGGACAGCUACCAAAGGGAGACGGGGGGAUCGGCAUCUCGUGAGUGUUGGAAUUGGAAGAUGCCGCUGCUGCUGAAGAUAAGACUUGCGGAGGAAACGAGCCACGUGGAAGAAGCGCAAUUGAUGGUUUGUCGGCCAUGCUUUUGUCAAACUUGGGAGAUUCGGCUUUGAAACAAUUGAGCUGAGAGAUCCAGUCCAGUGAGCAAAAGGGAGUUUACUCGCAAUGUGGACGUAGUAAAAGACACGGAAAAGCAAUCAAGCUGGUGAACUGCAAAUUGUGUGACCUUACUCGAUUCAUACUGCGCAAGUUGCAACAAGGAGGGAAAUGGUCGGUGACUUGACUCGCCCGAGGAGGAGGACUCCGAGUGCGUGCGGUGCGGCCACAAAACUCGAGUGUUAUCCUCGACGCUGCUUUAAAGGUAAACAAAGAAGAAGACCCUUCCCUACGUGUGCUGCGCCGGGCGGAGCUCAAAAAACAGCACACACUCACACACACAGACACGGACGGUCUGCCGACUGUUCGUACUGUGGACCAACUUGUGUUGUGUGUGUGAGUGUGGGGUGGUUUUUAUGAGCUCGCCCACGCACACACCCCACACACUCAAAGAAAUGCCACUGCUGCUGGCUACACUACCGCUUCUGCUUUGCACUGAACUUAACGAGGGGAGAAGCAACCUUAGAUUUGCCUUUUGCGUGGAAUGAAGAGGAAAGAAUAAUAUUUUAUAAGGCACAACAUGGAUCAUUUACUAUGUGAGGUAUAUAUAUAUCUAUAGGUGCUUGGAGGUACGUAGAAGGCAAGCAGCUUUAAGUUUAAAGCUGAGAGAGUUGUCAUUUCCCAGCUCACCUCGUCGGCGGAGGUACGGAGUGUUCGCCAUGGACGCCGACAAGCCGAGAUUUUGAGGAUUUUCUUAUUUCUUCCAGUUUGACUCGGGGAGGCAUGGUAAAAUCUUUCGGGCGAAAUGCUCUGCCCGUACUUUCCUAGGCUUGGAAAUGCUCACAAAAGUUCCUUUCU